UGGGGAAUAUUGGACAAUGGGGGCAACCCUGAUCCAGCGAUGCCGCGUGGGUGAAGAAGGCCUUCGGGUUGUAAAGCCCUUUAGGUCGGGAAGAAGGUUAGUAGAGGAAAUGCUAUUAAUUUGACGGUACCGACAGAAUAAGCACCGGCAAACUCUGUGCCAGCAGCCGCGGUAAUACAGAGGGUGCGAGCGUUAAUCGGAUUUACUGGGCGUAAAGGGCGCGUAGGCGGUGAGAUGUGUGUGAUGUGAAAGCCCCGGGCUCAACCUGGGAAGUGCAUCGCAAACUGUCUGACUGGAGUAUAUGAGAGGGUGGCGGAAUUUCCGGUGUAGCGGUGAAAUGCGUAGAGAUCGGAAGGAACGUCGAUGGCGAAGGCAGCCACCUGGCAUAAUACUGACGCUGAGGCGCGAAAGCGUGGGGAUCGAACAGG
Molecule: ribosomal RNA, 428 nt
Filed under: uncultured Aquicella sp.
Lineage: Bacteria; Pseudomonadati; Pseudomonadota; Gammaproteobacteria; Legionellales; Coxiellaceae
Description: bacterial SSU rRNA
Rfam family: Bacterial small subunit ribosomal RNA
Source: RNAcentral